CAGCAGCCGCGGGAAUACGUAGGGGGCGAGCGUUGUCCGAAGUUACUGGGCGUAAAGCGCGCGUAGGCGGCUUCUUAAGUCUGAGGUGAAAGGUUCAACGCUUAACGUGAACAGUGCCUUGGAUACUGGGGAGCUUGAGUAUGGGAGAGGGCAGUGGAAUGGCUGGUGUAGCGGUGAAAUGCGUAGAUAUCAGUCGGAACACCCAUGGCGAAGGCAGCUGCCUGGCCUAAUACUGACGCUGAGGUGCGAAAGCGUGGGGAGCGAACGGGAUUAGAUACCCCCGUAGUCCCUGUCUCUUAUA
RNAcentral lists this ribosomal RNA (301 nucleotides) under uncultured bacterium. RNAcentral's name for it is "partial 16S ribosomal RNA". It matches the Rfam family "Bacterial small subunit ribosomal RNA", at positions 509 to 808 of the family's 1533-position model. The record is from RNAcentral.